This 253-nucleotide ribosomal RNA is filed under the name uncultured bacterium. Its description in RNAcentral is "partial 16S ribosomal RNA". It matches the Rfam family "Bacterial small subunit ribosomal RNA", at positions 524 to 776 of the family's 1533-position model. The record is from RNAcentral.
UACGUGGGGUGCAAGCGUUAAUCGGAAUUACUGGGCGUAAAGCGUGCGCAGGCGGUUGUGCAAGACCGAUGUGAAAUCCCCGGGCUUAACCUGGGAAUGGCAUUGGUGACUGCACGGCUAGAGUGUGUCAGAGGGGGGUAGAAUUCCACGUGUAGCAGUGAAAUGCGUAGAGAUGUGGAGGAAUACCGAUGGCGAAGGCAGCCCCCUGGGAUAACACUGACGCUCAUGCACGAAAGCGUGGGGAGCAAACAGG